GUGAGGAAUAUUGCGCAAUGGAGGCAACUCUGACGCAGCCAUGCCGCGUGCAGGAAGAAGGCGCUACGCGUUGUAAACUGCUUUUAACCGGGAAGAAACCCCAGGACGUGUCCUGGGUUGACGGUACCGGAGGAAUAAGCACCGGCUAACUUCGUGCCAGCAGCCGCGGUAAUACGAAGGGUGCAAGCGUUAUCCGGAUUCAUUGGGUUUAAAGGGUGCGUAGGAGGAGCGUUAAGUCAGUGGUGAAAUCCUGCAGCUUAACUGUAGACUUGCCAUUGAUACUGGCGCUCUUGAGUGCGCUGGAAGUGGGCGGAAUGUGCCGUGUAGCGGUGAAAUGCUUAGAUAUGGCACAGAACACCAAUUGCGAAGGCAGCUCACUAAGGCGAUACUGACGCUGAGGCACGAAAGCGUGGGGAUCGAACAGGAUUAGAUACCCGUGUAGUCC
This 445-nucleotide ribosomal RNA is filed under the name uncultured bacterium. RNAcentral describes it as "partial 16S ribosomal RNA". It matches the Rfam family "Bacterial small subunit ribosomal RNA", at positions 354 to 796 of the family's 1533-position model. The record is from RNAcentral.